UGAUUUCAAGAAGGAGCUGUGGAUCCUCACAGUGAAUGUUACACUUUUUAAAAGCAGCAUGUCCUGAGUUUAUUCUUUCUGAUGUUUGGAGUUUCUUCCUUCUGGUAGGGUUUGUGGUCUCAGCGACUCAGGAGUGAAACUACAGACAUUCGCGGUGAGUGUUACAGCUCUUAAAGGCAGCCCGUCUGGUGUUUGUUCCUCCUGGUGGGUUCAUGGUCUUGCUAGCUCUAACAGUGAAGCUGCAGACCUUUACAGUGAGUACAACAGCUCAUAAACACAGCGUGGACUCAAAAAGUGAGUAGCAGCAAGAUUUGCUGCAAAGAUUGAAACAACAAAGCUUCCACAGUGUGGAAGGUAACCAGAGCCGGUUGCCAGUGCUGGCUGGGGCAGCCUGCUUUUAUUCUCUUAUCUGGCCCCACCCACAUCCUGCUGAUUGGUCCAUUUUACAGAGAGCCAAGUGGUCUGUUUUGACAGGGUGCUGAUUGGUGCAUUUACAAUCCCUGAGCUAGACACAAAGGUUCUCCAGGUCCUCACUAGAUUAGCUAGAUAUGGAGUGUGGACACAAAGGUUCUCCAAGUCCCCACCAGAGUAGCUAGAUACAGUGUCGAUUGGUGCAUUCACAAACCCUGAGCUAGACACAGUGUGCUGAUUGGUGUGUUUAUAAACCUUGAGCUAGAUACAGAGUGCCGAUUGGUGUAUUUACAAUCCCUGAGCUAGACAUAAAGGUUCUCCAAGUCCCCACCAGACUCAGGAACCCAGCUGGCUUCACCCAGUGGAUGUGCACGGGGUCCGCAGGUGGAGCUGCCUGCUAGUCCCGCGCCAUGCGCCCCCAUUCCUCAGCCCUUGGGUGGUCAGUGGGACUGGGCGCGGUGGAGCAGGGGGCGGCGCUCGUUGGGGAGGCUCGGGCGGCGCAGGAACCCACGGAGGGCGGCGGGGAGGCUCAGGCAUGGCGGGCUGCAGGUCCGAGCCCUUCCCCGCGGGAAAGCAGGAAGCUUCCAUAUGACACUGCAUUUCCCUUUAACUACCACCCAAUCUGGUAGCUACUCACCACGUGUGGCAAAGAUAGGGUCUCGCUUUGUUGCCCAGCUUGGUCUCAAACUCCUGACCUCAAGUGAUCCACCUGCCCUGGCCUCCCAAAGUGCUGGGAUUACAGGCAUGAGCUGCCAUGCCCAGCCAAAAAUAUCUGUCCAUUAAACUCAACUCUACCAUUCUGGACUGUAUUCCACUCUGCAUCACAUAAGACGUUAUUGUAUGUCA
Long non-coding RNA from Pan troglodytes (chimpanzee), 1257 nucleotides. RefSeq lists it as uncharacterized. The record is from RefSeq and is a predicted model, not a curated record. The transcript is spliced from 3 exons. NCBI's taxonomy places the organism in Eukaryota, Metazoa, Chordata, Mammalia, Primates, Hominidae.